RNAcentral lists this ribosomal RNA (497 nucleotides) under uncultured bacterium. RNAcentral describes it as "partial 16S ribosomal RNA". It matches the Rfam family "Bacterial small subunit ribosomal RNA", at positions 28 to 507 of the family's 1533-position model. The record is from RNAcentral.
GAUGAACGCUGGCGGCGUGCCUAAUACAUGCAAGUCGAGCGAACAGACGAGGAGCUUGCUCCUCUGACGUUAGCGGCGGACGGGUGAGUAACACGUGGAUAACCUACCUAUAAGACUGGGAUAACUUCGGGAAACCGGAGCUAAUACCGGAUAAUAUAUUGAACCGCAUGGUUCAAUAGUGAAAGACGGUUUUGCUGUCACUUAUAGAUGGAUCCGCGCCGGAUUAGCUAGUUGGUAAGGUAACGGCUUACCAAGGCAACGAUGCGUAGCCGACCUGAGAGGGUGAUCGGCCACACUGGAACUGAGACACGGUCCAGACUCCUACGGGAGGCAGCAGUAGGGAAUAUUCCGCAAUGGGCGAAAGCCUGACGGAGCCACGCCGCGUGAGUGAUGAAGGUCUUCGGAUCGUAAAGCUCUGUUAUUAGGGAAGAACAAAUGUGUAAGUAACUAUGCACGUCUUGACGGUACCUAAUCAGAAAGCCACGGCUAACUACGUG